AUUCAAUGUUUUUUUCUUCAUAUAGCCAGAGUUUAACAGACUUGCUAAUUAUUUAGCGGACAGUUGGACAUCAAGUUCAGGGUGUAUUGCCUGUCAGGAAGAUACCAUUAAUCUUGAGGGAUUGCUGGAAGAGGAUUAUCCAUCUAUUGUAUUGGGAGUGUUUGUGGAGCAUCCAACACCAUUUCUUAGAGAAGCCUUACAGAAUAUUGCAGCAUUAGAUUAUCCUAAACAGAAAAUUUAUUUCUUAAUGCAUUCAUCAUUAAGAAAUCACCAGAAUGAGAUAGAUUUAUUCUUGAACAAGGUUGGAAUAUUGUACAAGUCUGUCAAUACUAUAGGUUCAUAUGAUAGUAUUGGUGAAGCAGCAGCCAGGAGAGGGCCAUGUAAUACAUAUAUAUAAUUAUUAUAUACUUAUAAAAGAAAUAUUGAGAGAUAUUGACGAAAUAAUAUGCAGUGGUAAAAUUUUCGUAUUUUCACCAGUAUCUUGCCAGACUACUUUCCUCUACAUUCAGCCAGUACACAAAAUGAAAGUGGAAUUCUUUUGAAUUGUAAGAUAAAAAAAGAACUAAACAAAAAAUUCAAGUUUUUAUAUAAAUACAGAUUUUUUUUUCUUUCUUGUGGUAUGAAAAUUGCCACAUUUUACUUGUGGCUACCACCACUCGUGAAAUGAUUCAUACUGUUUGAUGAAAAUAAAAAACUUGAAUAUGCUCUUCCUCUAUCUUUUAAUCUCUAUACUGUUGGUAGCUCAAUAUUAGUAUUUUUAUAUCCCUUUAAAAUAGAGUGGACUUUUCCAAAUUCAAAGUUGGGCAUAUCCAUCAAACCUAUUGAGUAAGUAAUGGGUUAACUGAAACAU
Molecule: long non-coding RNA, 850 nt
Organism: Ruditapes philippinarum (Manila clam)
Lineage: Eukaryota; Metazoa; Mollusca; Bivalvia; Venerida; Veneridae
Exons: 3
Source: RefSeq, a predicted model, not a curated record